RNAcentral lists this ribosomal RNA (1389 nucleotides) under uncultured bacterium. RNAcentral describes it as "bacterial SSU rRNA". It matches the Rfam family "Bacterial small subunit ribosomal RNA". The record is from RNAcentral.
AGAGUUUGAUCAUGGCUCAGAUUGAACGCUGGCGGCAGGCCUAACACAUGCAAGUCGAGCGGUAGCACAGAGAGCUUGCUCUCGGGUGACGAGCGGCGGACGGGUGAGUAAUGUCUGGGAAACUGCCUGAUGGAGGGGGAUAACUACUGGAAACGGUAGCUAAUACCGCAUAAUGUCGCAAGACCAAAGAGGGGGACCUUCGGGCCUCUUGCCAUCAGAUGUGCCCAGAUGGGAUUAGCUAGUAGGUGGGGUAACGGCUCACCUAGGCGACGAUCCCUAGCUGGUCUGAGAGGAUGACCAGCCACACUGGAACUGAGACACGGUCCAGACUCCUACGGGAGGCAGCAGUGGGGAAUAUUGCACAAUGGGCGCAAGCCUGAUGCAGCCAUGCCGCGUGUAUGAAGAAGGCCUUCGGGUUGUAAAGUACUUUCAGCGGGGAGGAAGGCGAUAAGGUUAAUAACCUUGUCGAUUGACGUUACCCGCAGAAGAAGCACCGGCUAACUCCGUGCCAGCAGCCGCGGUAAUACGGAGGGUGCAAGCGUUAAUCGGAAUUACUGGGCGUAAAGCGCACGCAGGCGGUCUGUCAAGUCGGAUGUGAAAUCCCCGGGCUCAACCUGGGAACUGCAUUCGAAACUGGCAGGCUAGAGUCUUGUAGAGGGGGGUAGAAUUCCAGGUGUAGCGGUGAAAUGCGUAGAGAUCUGGAGGAAUACCGGUGGCGAAGGCGGCCCCCUGGACAAAGACUGACGCUCAGGUGCGAAAGCGUGGGGAGCAAACAGGAUUAGAUACCCUGGUAGUCCACGCCGUAAACGAUGUCGACUUGGAGGUUGUGCCCUUGAGGCGUGGCUUCCGGAGCUAACGCGUUAAGUCGACCGCCUGGGGAGUACGGCCGCAAGGUUAAAACUCAAAUGAAUUGACGGGGGCCCGCACAAGCGGUGGAGCAUGUGGUUUAAUUCGAUGCAACGCGAAGAACCUUACCUACUCUUGACAUCCAGAGAACUUUCCAGAGAUGGAUUGGUGCCUUCGGGAACUCUGAGACAGGUGCUGCAUGGCUGUCGUCAGCUCGUGUUGUGAAAUGUUGGGUUAAGUCCCGCAACGAGCGCAACCCUUAUCCUUUGUUGCCAGCGGUUAGGCCGGGAACUCAAAGGAGACUGCCAGUGAUAAACUGGAGGAAGGUGGGGAUGACGUCAAGUCAUCAUGGCCCUUACGAGUAGGGCUACACACGUGCUACAAUGGCGCAUACAAAGAGAAGCGACCUCGCGAGAGCAAGCGGACCUCAUAAAGUGCGUCGUAGUCCGGAUUGGAGUCUGCAACUCGACUCCAUGAAGUCGGAAUCGCUAGUAAUCGUAGAUCAGAAUGCUACGGUGAAUACGUUCCCGGGCCUUGUAGACA